ACAACAACAACAACACAUCCACGUGCGCCAACAGCUGAUCGGCGGAGAGGACGAGGACGAGGACGAGGUGGAGAAAAAGACCAAUUAAAGAAACCAUGGAGUAGAAACCAGUGACACAAGAGGACACAGAGGAUACUUCAGAGGAGGUGGACGUGAGGAUAAGUAACAGAGAGCAACAGAAGCCACAGGAAAAAAAAAGUAGAGAAAAAGAGCAAAUUAAGAAACCAUGAAGUAGAAACCAGUGGAUAAAGAAGACAUAGAGAAUAGUAAAGAGGAAGAGGACCUGAUUAAAAGCAACAGAGGCUACAGAACAAGAAGAGAAGGAAGGGAAGGACUCCACUCCCGCCCCACAGCCAUGGACGCGUAUUACGGUUACUUCGAGGGACAGUUCAGUGACGCGGACGAGGACAGUGACAGUGCGUACCAGCCCUACACCAAGCCACUGGUCAGCCUGCCACAUAGUAAUGAGAAUGAGAACUGGGACACAGGUGGUGAGGAGCAACCAAAACAGGAGGAUCAGCCAGAGGAGGACGACGAGGACUCAGAUUUCGACGAUGAUUACUUUGUGGAUCAGGACAGUAAAGACCUGACCAAAGAGUAUAACCAGAGCAGCCAGAAGGGACCCAACCACUCCUCCGGCCAGAAGAUGAAGCUUGAGAAGUUCCAGCCCCCCGAGAAGCUGUUCAAGAAGUACGCCAACAAGAUCUGCCUCGAGAAGUUUGAAGGUCUGCGAGGCUACAGCGGCAGCGUGACGAACAAGAUGGUGGAGACGCAGCGAAAGGCGGAGAACGAGAGGCAAAGAGUGCGCGACAAGUCCGAGAGGGCCACAGUGGAGCAGGUGAUGGACCCUCGCACUCGGAUGAUCCUCUUCAAGUUCCUCAACAAAGGCACGAUCACAACGGUCAACGGAUGCAUCUCCACGGGUAAGGAGGCCAAUGUUUACCACGCCAUGAACGGCGAUGGGGACGAACUGGCCGUCAAGAUUUACAAGACUUCAAUUCUCAUCUUCAAGGACAGAGACAGAUAUGUUUCAGGGGAUCACAGGUUCCGCCAUGGGUAUGGGAAGAACAACCCGCGCAAGAUGGUCCGAACGUGGGCCGAGAAGGAGACCAGCAACCUCUUCCGUCUGUUCAACUGUGGCCUUCCCGUGCCCCGCCCCAUCAUGCUGCGCUCCCACGUCCUCAUCAUGGAGUUCCUCGGCACAAACUCCAUCCCCGCGCCAAGACUGAAGGACGCUGAGAUCUCCGAGUCCAAGGCGCGGGAGCUGUACCUUGAGCUGGUGGAGAACAUGUGGACAAUGUACCGGGAGUGUCGGCUGGUGCACGCUGACCUCAGUGAAUUCAACCUGCUGUAUCACAAGGGCCGGGCGUACAUCAUUGAUGUCUCCCAGUCUGUCGGCCCUGACCACCCCCACGCCUUGGAGUUCUUGCGGAAGGACUGCACGAACAUCACAGAGUUCUUCAAGAAAAAAAACGUGCCCACGAUGAAAGUUCAGGAGCUGUUCAACUUCAUCGUGGACCCGAGCGUCACCAAGGAGAACCGCUCGGCAUACCUGGAGCACAUGAAGGAGGUGGCGUCGCAGCGGGGACACCUGACGGACCAGGAGAAGGUGGACGAGGAGGUGUUCAAGAAUGUCUUUAUCCCCAAAACGCUGGACCAGAUCAUAGAUUUUGAGGGAGACUUCGUGGACUUGAGGCUCGGGGAGAAGACUGAGAAAGACAUCCCAUACAUUAGUGUUCUGGGCAUGAAGAACGACCUCAGCGGACCAGCGCUUCCCGAGGACACGGCGGGCCAGGACACAUCUGAGUCAGGGGAGGAAGACAGCGGAGGUGAGGAAACCGAGGACAAGGAGGCAGGGGGCAGCCGCAUCACACCCGGCAGGCAGAAAGGCGAGUCCCUGGACGAGAAGAAGGAGCGGAAGAAGGCAGUGAAGGAGGCGCAAGCGGAGAAGAGGAAAAUAAAAGUCAAAAAGCAUGUGAAAAAGAAGGCUGAGAAGGAGAGAAGGAAAAAGCACUAGACUUGCGUUAAUAGGUCAUGGAAUUGUACCUUUGUUGAGUGUAAGAGAAUGACUGUGAGCGAAGAACUGGAGGACCAAGAGUGAAAAGCAUAUUAAAAGAAGGCCAAGAAAGAGUAGGAAAAAACAUUAGAGAUGCAUUAUUAGUUUAUAGAAGUUUACCCUUAUAGAAUGUAAGAAGCAGAACACAGAAAAUAUACUGUAUGGAAAGAAAGGAGAUGUUAGUGUGAUUGAAUAUGCAGUUUAAUUUAUCCAACAAAUUAUGACGGCAAUUUCGAAAAGGCCAAAUUGAUCGUUCCUUAAAAAUUCAUAAAAGUGGAACUACAAAUAUUAAUUAAAGUUGUAGGAUUUGGAAGUACAUAUUGAACUUAAGUACCAAUUGCUAGUAUGGAAAGGACGGCUGAGAAAGAGAUACUAGAGAUAUGUUAUUAGGUUCUAGAAAUGUACCUUUGUUGAGUGUUAGACAAGAACCAGAAAACCCCUCAAAGAAUAUAUUGAAGGAAAGGAGAUGUUAGUAUGAAUGAAUAUGCAUUUAGUAAUUUAACAGACAAGAGUUGCGACAUCAGGUUUGAAUGAAAGGCUUUAUUGAAGGCUUUGUAUGAAUGCAUAAAAGUGAAAUUAGUGAGAGAAGAAUUAUUGAGCCGAGUUGCAGGACUUGAAGGUACUGAAGUGAAGUAGUGUGACCUUAAAGUUUAAUUAAAAGUUCAUUAUAAAUUCAUAAAAGUAGAAGAAGAAUUACUAUAAAUCAGAGUUGCAGAAUUUGAAGGUACUGAAGUGAAGUAGUGUGGUCUUAAAUAUGAAUGGAAAGUUUAAUUAAAAGUUCAAUAUAAAUUCAUAAAAGUAGAAGAAGAAUUACUAUAAAAUCAAGGUUCCAGGAUUUGAAGGUGGUGAAGUAAUGUGACCUUAGAUAUGAAUGAAAAGUUUAAUUAAAAGUUCAGUAUAAAUUCAUAAAAGUAGAACAAGAAUUACUUUAAAAUCAAAGUUCCAGGAUUUGAAGGUGGUGAAGGAAUGUGACCUUAGAUAUGAAUGAAAAGUUUUAUUGAAAGUUCAGUAUAAAUUCAUGAAAGUAGAACAAGACUUACUAAAUAUCGAAGUUCCAGGAUUUGAAGAUUUUAAAUGGCAGAAUUGAAAAGAAGACAUUCAUUAGAGAGCAAUUUUUUUAUGAUUAUUUUUUUUUACAGCAAAGGAAAGAACUCAAGGGCAAAAAUGAAAUGAAAAAAAGACUAGGAAAAAAAUCAGAAGUAUAUAUGUUUUUCAGGUCCAGAAGUACAUGAAUUUUCUUCCAUUUCUAAACCCAAAUAUUUUCCGGUUUAAAAGCGAAAUAUCACUCUGCGGAAGUUUUAAUAUAUUUUUCUGCUUUCUGUGAUGUUAAGAUGAUAGGAUUACAGGUCAAUUUCAGAGUAUUGUUCUGAAUUACACAUUGGAUUUAUUUAUAGUAAGGAUUAGCCAUGCAACAUUUUUAAAUCACCCUCACCUCUCAUUCUCUGUUGGCGUCUUAAGGGGCUAUUACGCUGGGCAAAUUUUCCGUGGAUCUUCAGUCAAACCACGAUUUCCGCUGGCGUGGUUCUCAUGUGUUUCUUGUUAUUGCUGAUGAUGAUGAUGGUGAGUAAUACCGUCAUCCUUCAGUGAAAUCUACCGUAGCUUUGGAAGAUCGUGGACACGUCAGAAAACCACGGAAAUAUGAGAACCACGCCAGCGGAAAUCGUGGUUUGACUGAAGAUCCACGGAAAAUUUGCCCAGUGUAAUUGCCCCUUUAGCGAGAGUUUUUAGUUAGACGUGAGUGAAACAUGUCCUUACGAGAGUCGAUUUUUAUUUAUAUACGAUACUGAAUGAAUAAAUGGGAUACAACACUGA
Eriocheir sinensis (Chinese mitten crab) is the source of this 3868-nucleotide RNA transcript. It is a transcript of the gene named serine/threonine-protein kinase RIO1-like, with no coding region annotated. The record is from RefSeq and is a predicted model, not a curated record. Lineage: Eukaryota; Metazoa; Arthropoda; Malacostraca; Decapoda; Varunidae. The transcript has 13 exons.